AGUGAACGCUGGCGGUAGGCCUAACACAUGCCAGUCGAACGGCAGCACAGUAAGAGCUUGCUCUUACGGGUGGCGAGUGGCGGACGGGUGAGGCAUACAUCGGAAUCUACUUUUUCGUGGGGGAUAACGUAGGGAAACUUACGCUAAUACCGCAUACGACCUACGGGUGAAAGCAGGGGAUCUUCGGACCUUGCGCGAUUGAAUGAGCCGAUGUCGGAUUAGCUAGUUGGCGGGGUAAAGGCCCACCAAGGCGACGAUCCGUAGCUGGUCUGAGAGGAUGAUCAGCCACACUGGAACUGAGACACGGUCCAGACUCCUACGGGAGGCAGCAGUGGGGAAUAUUGGACAAUGGGCGCAAGCCUGAUCCAGCCAUACUGCGUGGGUGAAGAAGGCCUUCGGGUUGUAAAGCCCUUUUGUUGGGAAAGAAAAGCAGCAGGUUAAUACCCCGCUGUUCUGACGGUACCCAAAGAAUAAGCACCGGCUAACUUCGUG
RNAcentral lists this ribosomal RNA (492 nucleotides) under uncultured bacterium. Its description in RNAcentral is "partial 16S ribosomal RNA". It matches the Rfam family "Bacterial small subunit ribosomal RNA", at positions 29 to 507 of the family's 1533-position model. The record is from RNAcentral.